Molecule: ribosomal RNA, 496 nt
Filed under: uncultured bacterium
Lineage: Bacteria
Description: bacterial SSU rRNA
Rfam family: Bacterial small subunit ribosomal RNA
Source: RNAcentral
GAUGAACGUUGGCGGUGUGCCUAAUACAUGCAAGUCGAACGGUGACGAUUUUGUAGCAAUACGAAUGAAAUCAUAGUGGCGAACGGGUGAGUAACGCGUUGGUGAUCUGCCUCGAAGUGUGGAAUAACUUCCCGAAAGGGUAGCUAAUACCGCAUAGUCUCUCAGGGUUUAGAAAACUGAGAGUAAAGGAUUUAUUCGCUUCGAGAGGAGCCUGCGUCCCAUCAGCUAGUUGGUAGGGUAAUAGCCUACCAAGGCAAUGACGGGUAGGGGACCUGAGAGGGUGGCCCCCCACAAUGGAACUGAAACACGGUCCAUACACCUACGGGUGGCAGCAGUAGGGAAUAUUAGAAAUGGGCGAAAGCCUGAUCUAGCAACACCGCGUGUGCGAUGAAGGCCCUUCGGGUUGUAAAGCACUUUUUGGAGGAAUAGGAAGGAAGGUACCUCCAGAAUAAGUCUCGGCUAACUACGUGCCAGCAGCCGCGGUAAUAGUCACGUC